CAGGCUUAACACAUGCAAGUCGAGGGGCAGCAUGGUCUUAGCUUGCUAAGGCCGAUGGCGACCGGCGCACGGGUGAGUAACACGUAUCCAACCUGCCGUCUACUCUUGGACAGCCUUCUGAAAGGAAGAUUAAUACAAGAUGGCAUCAUGAGUCCGCAUGUUCACAUGAUUAAAGGUAUUCCGGUAGACGAUGGGGAUGCGUUCCAUUAGAUAGUAGGCGGGGUAACGGCCCACCUAGUCUUCGAUGGAUAGGGGUUCUGAGAGGAAGGUCCCCCACAUUGGAACUGAGACACGGUCCAAACUCCUACGGGAGGCAGCAGUGAGGAAUAUUGGUCAAUGGGCGAGAGCCUGAACCAGCCAAGUAGCGUGAAGGAUGACUGCCCUAUGGGUUGUAAACUUCUUUUAUAAAGGAAUAAAGUCGGGUAUGGAUACCCGUUUGCAUGUACUUUAUGAAUAAGGAUCGGCUAACUCCGUGCCAGCAGCCGCGGUAAUACGGAGGAUCCGAGCGUUAUCCGGAUUUAUUGGGUUUAAAGGGAGCGUAGAUGGAUGUUUAAGUCAGUUGUGAAAGUUUGCGGCUCAACCGUAAAAUUGCAGUUGAUACUGGAUAUCUUGAGUGCAGUUGAGGCAGGCGGAAUUCGUGGUGUAGCGGUGAAAUGCUUAGAUAUCACGAAGAACUCCGAUUGCGAAGGCAGCCUGCUAAGCUGCAACUGACAUUGAGGCUCGAAAGUGUGGGUAUCAAACAGGAUUAGAUACCCUGGUAGUCCACACGGUAAACGAUGAAUACUCGCUGUUUGCGAUAUACAGCAAGCGGCCAAGCGAAAGCGUUAAGUAUUCCACCUGGGGAGUACGCCGGCAACGGUGAAACUCAAAGGAAUUGACGGGGGCCCGCACAAGCGGAGGAACAUGUGGUUUAAUUCGAUGAUACGCGAGGAACCUUACCCGGGCUUAAAUUGCAGAUGAAUUACGGUGAAAGCCGUAAGCCGCAAGGCAUCUGUGAAGGUGCUGCAUGGUUGUCGUCAGCUCGUGCCGUGAGGUGUCGGCUUAAGUGCCAUAACGAGCGCAACCCUUGUUGUCAGUUACUAACAGGUUCCGCUGAGGACUCUGACAAGACUGCCAUCGUAAGAUGUGAGGAAGGUGGGGAUGACGUCAAAUCAGCACGGCCCUUACGUCCGGGGCUACACACGUGUUACAAUGGGGGGUACAGAGGGCCGCUACCACGCGAGUGGAUGCCAAUCCCCAAAACCUCUCUCAGUUCGGACUGGAGUCUGCAACCCGACUCCACGAAGCUGGAUUCGCUAGUAAUCGCGCAUCAGCCACGGCGCGGUGAAUACGUUCCCGGGCCUUGUACACACCGCCCGUCAAGCCAUGGGAGCCGGGGGUACCUGAAGUGCGUAACCGCGAGGAGCGCCCUAGGGUAAAACUGGUGACUGGGGC
RNAcentral lists this ribosomal RNA (1434 nucleotides) under uncultured organism. RNAcentral's name for it is "16S ribosomal RNA". It matches the Rfam family "Bacterial small subunit ribosomal RNA". The record is from RNAcentral.